RNAcentral lists this ribosomal RNA (253 nucleotides) under uncultured bacterium. RNAcentral describes it as "partial 16S ribosomal RNA". It matches the Rfam family "Bacterial small subunit ribosomal RNA", at positions 524 to 776 of the family's 1533-position model. The record is from RNAcentral.
GACAGAGGGGGCAGGCGUUGCUCGGAAUUACUGGGCGUAAAGGGCGCGUAGGCGGGAUGGCAAGUCGGUCGUGAAAUCCCUCGGCUCAACUGAGGAGCGUCGAUCGAAACUGCUGUUCUUGAGGGUUGCAGAGGAGACUGGAAUUCCCGGUGUAGCGGUGAAAUGUGUAGAGAUCGGGAGGAACACCGGUGGCGAAGGCGGGUCUCUGGGCAACUCCUGACGCUGAGGCGCGAAAGCGUGGGGAGCGAACAGG